GGAACAUGCCUUGUAUUCAGAAUCAUUUGGAUUCCUUUCGGUUGCUCAAAUAUGAUGUCACAUCUGCAUCUAAGUUUACGGAAGCUGGUUGCCCACUCCUAGUUCGAAGACACAACCUCACCCCGGGAAUUUUUUUGAUGUACAUUCGAGGAAAAUUACUCUUUGCCAACUUUAUUUUCAAUGGUUACAGCACAUCUGUUAAUGACCUUCAAAAGCAAAUUGUGAAGACCAGAAAGGAUUAUCACAUGGGCUAUUUCCUACCCAGUGACUUCAGAAUACG
Phodopus roborovskii (desert hamster) is the source of this 280-nucleotide long non-coding RNA. RefSeq lists it as uncharacterized. The record is from RefSeq and is a predicted model, not a curated record. The transcript is spliced from 3 exons. NCBI's taxonomy places the organism in Eukaryota, Metazoa, Chordata, Mammalia, Rodentia, Cricetidae.